Long non-coding RNA from Caretta caretta (loggerhead turtle), 1174 nucleotides. RefSeq lists it as uncharacterized. The record is from RefSeq and is a predicted model, not a curated record. NCBI's taxonomy places the organism in Eukaryota, Metazoa, Chordata, Testudines, Cheloniidae.
AAAGUCGCUUCCAUUAUACUCACUCUUUAAAGUCUUUAUAACUCUUCCUUUAAAGUCUAGGGAGAUGAUUGUGAGAUUCAGAAAGAGAAGAAGACAGCUGUGAUAACCCCUUGAGUGAAUGAACUACCUGAAUGAACUUUCUAGCUAUCUCAAGAAUCCAUUUGGAGCCACUGUGAUGCAAGGCUGGAGAAUGUGCCUUCAUGCCAGUUUUAAUGGAUAAGUACCAAAUUCCAUGCAUUUUGUUUACUCCAAUAAAAACUUGGUUAUUUUAAAGCUAUCUGAGUUAAAACCAUCAGGAUAAUCUCAGUUAUCUGAAUUCCCUUUAUCCAGAAAUCCUAAUUAUCCGAAUGCACAGUGGGUCCCUCCCGUAGUGCUGUGUUAGUUAAUCACCCUCUGAUGAACUAACCUUAGGGCUGUGGGAGCUGCGAUUUGGGAGGAUUUCCAGAGUUAGCGAUGAAGACAAGGAAAAAAGGGAAGAAUUAGGGAGAAGGUGGGGAGGGAGAGAAAAGCAAACAGACAAGAAAGAAACAGAUGAAGGGGUUAAGGUGAAGACUGAAAGGAAAAGGGGUCAAGGAGAGACAGGAGAAAGGGAGAGACAGGACAGCAGUUAAGGGAAAGAUCAGGGCAGGAGGGAGGGGAAUGAAGAGAGACAGAGGAGGGUGGAGGAGAGAAAAAGAUCAGUAUUUCCCCAUGACCUAUAAAUACAGGGACUUUGUCUCCUCUCUGUCUUUGUGUCUCUUCUCUCCAGUGACACUGAGUUCCUGACCAACCUUCAGCCAUGAAGAUCCUUUAUCUGCUCUUUGCUGUCUUCUUUCUGGUGCACCAGGGUGCAACAGAAUUCUCCCAGGCUCAGAAUCUCAACAGGAGAUGUAUACUCCGGGGGGGUACCUGUUUCUAUCUGAGAUGCCCCCCUUUUGUAAGGACACUCACUGGAAGAUGCUUCAGCGGUGGUGUUUGUUGUGCAAGGGGACUGUGAUUCUGAUUGUCUAGGCAGGAUAUCUGGGAAUCUGGGAGACAGCCACUUGCUUCUAAAAUCAUUGGAUCCUACUUCAAGGGAACUCUGAAGUACUGUUUGUUUAGGCUCUAAAGAACCUUAUGAGCUGGAAAAAUUCCAGAAGGGAGACCUUUUAUCCCCCAUAUAAGAUUUGUUACUUUUCUUUUAAUAAAAGCAAGU